This 815-nucleotide long non-coding RNA is filed under the name Ananas comosus (pineapple). RNAcentral describes it as "long non-coding RNA (ACOM_LNC026393)". The record is from RNAcentral. Lineage: Eukaryota; Viridiplantae; Streptophyta; Magnoliopsida; Poales; Bromeliaceae.
AAUAGAUAAACGUCAAUUUGCCGUUAUAUGAUUUAGCUUAUUUUUAUUUUGUCAUCUCAUAAUUAAAAAAAAAAGCACUUAACUAUUUUGUAUCUUUUAUAUAUUUUUAUCCAAAAAAUUUGCUAUAAAAUCAAAUAGAACAGUAAAGUAAAAUAAUUUGAUAACCCUAGUACAGUUAAGUAUAACUUUUUAAACUCUAAUUUGGCUAUGUUUGGUUCAAAGGAUAAAGGAAGAAUAAGGAAUUUAUUCCUCUUAUUCUUCCAAACGGUGUCUUUAUUAGAGUAGAAAGUUUUGAUAGGUAUAAAAGGAGUGUUGAUAUAAAUAUUAAAGGGUCAAUUGCAUACAGAUUUCCGCAAAUAUAGUGAAUUGCAGAUAUAUUCCUGUAAAGUUCAACUUUCAUAAGCUAUCCCUACAAAAAUUCUAAUAUUUUUAUAUAUGUUCCUACCGUUAGAACCCGUCAGAAAAGUUUAGUUAACCAUAGGUUAAAUAAUUUACCUGGAUUAAUUUUUGACAUUUGUACCCUCUUAUAUUAUACUGUUAUAAUUUUUGGAGGGAUAUAUUUGUGAUGGUAAAAUUGGAAAUAAAAGCAGUUUUCUAAUGGUUCUCUAACAGUAACAAAUCAGAGGAACAUAUCUGAAAAUAUUAGGACUUUUGUAGGAAUAACUUAUGAAAGUUGAACUUUAUAAGAAUAUAUUUGUAAUUCACUAUAUUUGCGGGGACCUAUAUGCAAUUAACCGAAUAUUAAAAACACUAUUAUCUAAUAGCUUGAUUUUUUGAAGAAAAAUACUUAUUUUAUAUAAUUUAACAUAGUGUUU